Molecule: transfer RNA, 79 nt
Filed under: Actinomycetes bacterium
Lineage: Bacteria; Bacillati; Actinomycetota; Actinomycetes
Also listed under: 2 other names
Description: Actinobacteria bacterium tRNA-Asp
Rfam family: tRNA
About the family: Transfer RNA (tRNA) molecules are approximately 80 nucleotides in length. Their secondary structure includes four short double-helical elements and three loops (D, anti-codon, and T loops).
Source: RNAcentral
GCGCCUGUGGAGGAGUCCGGUCGUCCUCAUCGCCCUGUCAAGGCGAAGAUCGCGGGAUCGAAGCCCGUCAGGCGCGCCA